CUGGCUGACUAUACUAUGUUGAUAGGCUCACAAUUACUGCAUCUAUACUGAAAAUACAUAGACUCUUUUCCUUAUCAUGAGUCCCUAAACAAUACAAUAGAACAACUAUUUGCAUAGCUUUUAUAAUGCAUGAGGUAUUUUAAGUAAUCUAGACAUAAUUGAGGGUAUACAAGAGGAUGUGGGUAAGUUACAUACAAAUAUGUCAUUUUAUAAAAGGGACUUGACAUGGCUCACGGAGUGCUGCAAACAAUACCCAGCAGGUAUCAAGGGAUGACUGUACUGGAAAGAAACUGAAACUACUUAAGGCUUUACCAAGUGCUUACAUUCACAGGGUCUAUCUCCAAUGUGUUUCGUACAAGUAUCUGAAAUGAAAUAAAAUUAAUAAAUGCUUUCCCACAUUCCAUACAUUUAGAGAGAAUGCUAGUGAGUCUUUUUAUGUCUAUGCAAGGAAUUGAGAGAAGCAAAUGCUUUCCCACAUUCCUUACAUUCAUAUGGGUUCUCUCCAGUGUGAGUUUUUUUCCAGUGAGUCUUUUUAUGUCUAUGCAAGGAACUGAGAGAAGCAAAUGCUUUCCCACAUUCCUUACAUUCAUACGGGUUCUCUCCAGUAUGAGUUUUUUCAUGUCCUUGAAGAAAACGGGAAUGAGUGAAGGCUUUACCACAUUGUUGACAUUCAUAGGAUUUCUCUCUCAUGUGAAUUCUUUCAUGUCGUAGAAAGCAAGUGAGCCAAGAGAAUGCUUUCCCGCAUUCCUUACAUUCAUACGGCUUCUCUCCAGAGUGAAUUCUUUCAUGUACCUUUAAGUUAUCAUAAUGACCGAAGGCUUUCCUACAUGUUUUACACUCAUAAGGUUUCUCUCCUGUGUGAGUCCUUUUAUGUCGAGAAAGGUAUCUGAAACGACUGAAUGCUUUCCCACAUUCCUUACACUCAUAUGGCUUCUCUCCAGUGUGAGUUGUUUUGUGAUUUUGAAAGGAACAGAAAUCAAUAAAGGCUUUCCUACGUUUGCAUUUAUAGGGUUUCUCUCCAGUAUGAGUUGUUUCAUGCCUUCGAAGGGAACUGGAAAUACGGUAGGCUUUGCCACAUUGUUUACAUUUAUAGGGUUUCUCUGCAGUGUGAGUCCUUUCAUGUCUUUGAAAUACACUGGGAUAAACAAAGGCUUUCCCACAUACCUUGCAUUUAUGAGGUCCAUCUCCAGUGUGCAUUAUCAUAUGACUUCGAAAGCUUGAGCGAUGAGAUAAUGCUUUCCCACACUGCUUGCAUUCAUAGGGUUUCUCUCCAGUGUGAGUUCUUUCAUGACUUUGCAGUGAACUAGGACAAUCAAAGCCUUUCCCACAUAUCUUACAUUUAUGAGGUCCAUUUCCAGUGUGCCUUAUCAUGUGUCUUUGAAAGCUUCCCAGAUGAUGAAACGCUUUCCCACAUUGCUGACAUGCAUAGGGUUUCUCUGCACUGUGAGUGGUUUCAUGUCUUUGAAGGGAACCGGAAACACUGAAGGCUUUCCCACAUUGUUUACAUUUAUAGGGUUUCUCUCCAGUGUGAGUUCUUUCAUGUAUUAGACAAGAACUGGAAUCAGGGAAGGCUUUAGAACACUGCUUACAUUUAUAUGGUUUCUCCCCAGUAUGUGUUCUUUCAUGUCUUAGAUAGGAACUGUAAAAAGGAAAGGCUUUAGAACACUGUUUACAUUCAUACGGUUUCUCCCCAGUAUGUGUUCUUUCAUGUCUUAGAUAGGAACUGUAAAAAGAAAAGGCUUUAGAACACUGCUUACAUUCAUAUGGUUUCUCUCCAGUGUGCGUUCUUUCAUGCAUAUGUAAUAAACUGGGCCAAAAAAACGCUUUCCCACACAAUUUACAUUUAUAAGGUCCAUCUCCACGCUGCACUGCCAUGUGUCUUUGAAGGUUUCCCAAAGAACUGAAGGACUUCCCACAUUCUUUACAAUCAUAUGGUUUCUUUCCAGUGUGAAGCCUCUCAUGUGUUUGAAGUGAGUUGUGGUAACUGAAGGCUUUCCCACGUUGUUUAUGCGUAUCUGGCUUCUCUCCACAUUCAUGAUACUCAUGUGGUUUGUGCCCAGCACCAACUCUGAUGUAACAAUUAAGGGAUGAAUGACCCAUGACGAUUUCUCCUCUCAUACUGCUUUCACAUGGACCUACUCCAGGAAGAGUGUUCUUGGUCACAAUACUAUCUUGAAUCUGGCUAGAUGUUUCUCCACAUUGACUUCCACCUUUACUUUCAACAAAUC
RNAcentral lists this long non-coding RNA (2228 nucleotides) under Pan troglodytes (chimpanzee). Its description in RNAcentral is "long non-coding RNA NONPTRT007988". The record is from RNAcentral. Lineage: Eukaryota; Metazoa; Chordata; Mammalia; Primates; Hominidae.